ACCUUGUCAUCGACUUUCCCUCGUAAACGAUGCAGUUUAGGGCCCUUGCUGCCUUCCCGAGACCUUAACUUUGCGGUUUUAUUAAGUUCAUAACGGUGUUUGUCGCCAUCACUAACAGCUUCGUUUAAUGGAAAGGACUCUAAAGAAUGUAUGCGUGAGCCGUUCUCCUUAAGGUCACCUAUUCUCGAUUCGAUCAAGCUUUUAGCUUCCAGAAAAGUUUGCAUACCGAGUCUUAACUU
RNAcentral lists this long non-coding RNA (239 nucleotides) under Gossypium raimondii (Peruvian cotton). RNAcentral describes it as "long non-coding RNA (GRAI_LNC003061)". The record is from RNAcentral. Lineage: Eukaryota; Viridiplantae; Streptophyta; Magnoliopsida; Malvales; Malvaceae.